CCUACGGGUGGCUGCAGUGGGGGAUAUUGCACAAUGGGGGAAACUCUGAUGCAGCGACGCCGCGUGAGGGAAGACGGUCCUCGGAUUGUAAACCUCUGUCUUUGGGGAAGAAAAUGACGGUACCCACAGAGGAAGCUCCGGCUAACUACGUGCCAGCAGCCGCGGUAAUACGUAGGGAGCGCGCGUUGUCCGGAUUUACUGGGUGUAAAGGGGGCGUAGGCGGGAGUGAAAGCUGAAGGUAAAAACUAGGGGCUAAACUGGGAGGUGCGGUUGAAACUUCUUGUCUUGAGUGAAGGAGAGGCAGGCGGAAUGCCUGGUGUAGCGGUGAAAUGCGUAGAUAUCAGGAGGAACACCGGUGGCGAAGGCGGCCUGCUGG
Molecule: ribosomal RNA, 376 nt
Filed under: uncultured bacterium
Lineage: Bacteria
Description: partial 16S ribosomal RNA
Rfam family: Bacterial small subunit ribosomal RNA
Source: RNAcentral